UACGAAGGUCCCAAGCGUUAUCCGGAUUUAUUGGGUUUAAAGGGUGCGUAGGUGGAGUGGUAAGUCAGUGGUGAAAUCUCCAAGCUUAACUUGGAAACUGCCGUUGAUACUAUCAUUCUUGAAUAUCGUGGAGGUAAGCGGAAUAUGUCAUGUAGCGGUGAAAUGCUUAGAUAUGACAUAGAACACCGAUUGCGAAGGCAGCUUGCUACACGAUCAUUGACACUGAGGCACGAAAGCGUGGGGAUCAAACAGG
This 253-nucleotide ribosomal RNA is filed under the name uncultured bacterium. RNAcentral's name for it is "partial 16S ribosomal RNA". It matches the Rfam family "Bacterial small subunit ribosomal RNA", at positions 524 to 776 of the family's 1533-position model. The record is from RNAcentral.